RNAcentral lists this unclassified non-coding RNA (212 nucleotides) under soil metagenome. RNAcentral's name for it is "partial contains 5.8S ribosomal RNA, internal transcribed spacer 2, and large subunit ribosomal RNA". The record is from RNAcentral.
AACAAGGCGUACCUGCGGACCUGCGGAAGGAUCAUUACAAGUGACCCCGGUCUUACCACCGGGAUGUUCAUAACCCUUUGUUGUCCGACUCUGUUGCCUCCGGGGCGACCCUGCCUUCGGGCGGGGGCCCCGGGUGGACACUUCAAACUCUUGCGUAACUUUGCAGUCUGAGUAAACUUAAUUAAUAAAUUAAAACUUUUAACAAUGGAUCU